AAUUACCAUAUUGUUUAUUGUAUGUAUAAUUAAACAUUUGUUAUUUGUUUGAAACACACAGCACACAGUUAAUUACCAUAUUGUUUAUUGUAUGUAUAAUUAAACAUUUGUUAUUUGUUUGAAACACACAGCACACAGUUACUUACCAUAUUGUUUAUUGUAUGUGUAAUUAAACAUUUGUUAUUUGUUUUAAACACACAGCACACAGUUAAUUACCAUAUUGUUUAUUGUAUGUGUAAUUAAACAUUUGUUAUUUGUUUUAAACACACAGCACACAGUUACUUACCAUACUGUUUAUUGUAUGUGUAAUUAAACAUUUGUUAUUUGUUUGAAACCUUACUUUUCAUGAUCCAAUAACUGAAACUGGUUGGAAAUAAAUCUCAAAACCAGAGAUCUGAGAACUCACUGUUUUCAGCAAACCUGACUUCUCUGCUCUGUCCAAGUAAUGAAUUACAAAGGUCCUAUUACAAAAUUUCUGUAAAUUCAGUUCAACCCAUUUUUUUAAUGCAGCAUAAUAUGGCCAAGUUAUAGUUAAAUAGAACUGUUGUUUUGUAGAAUUAGUUUCUUGUAGAUUUUAAGUGGUGUUAAGCUUUUACAGCAUUUUAAUGAGAAUUAUUGAAGGUUAUUCAUUGUUUUCCUUAAGUAAACAUUUACAUGUAUCCUAGAAUUAUCAUUCAAAGCUUUGUUAAGUCUCGUUUGUUUUUACUUCAUAUCUUUAUUGUGCUUAGAAAAUUAAUAAUAUAUGCCUAAAGGUCUAAAUUAUUGCUCUUAAAUAUCUUAACUUUGAAACCCAAAAUCUUUGUUGUGACUGUGCAGCAGUAACAAUUAUUGACAGUACAGAAUAAAUAAGAUUGAGUGGUUUUAAUGAGGAUCAUUGAUUGCUUUCAGGACACAUUUGCAUGUAAUAUCAAAUGUUUUCUUUAUUAGAUUAGUAAUGGAGAGAAAGAAAACAAGAGUAUAAUAUUCCAGUGUUUUAUUAUUUGUAUCCACAGGUGAAACGUGUGUAUAAAAAGAUGUAAAUACUUAAGAAGACUGCUUUAAUGUAAACUUUGAAGUUAUAAGUCUUGCUGGUAGUAAGUUGUUAUAAAAACAGGUUAAAUAAUUUUUUUUUCCCCUCACUAUUCUAAUAAUUUAAGUUCAUUGAAAGUGUUUACAUUUAAAGUAUAUUUUUGUAGGUCCGACUGGUGAUAAAGUAUCGGCACUGUGAUGGAAAAUUAGUAAUUAAAGUUACUGAUGACCAUGUUUGUUUGCAGUUUCUUACAGAACAUACCCAGGAUGUAAAGAAGGUGGAAAAGCUAAGUAAUCAGUUGAUGAGACACAUGGCAUCCAAAGAAAAGUGACAUUGGUUUAAGAUAGAGAGAAAACUCAUUAUGUACUGUGAAUAAUAAAACAAAGUGACAAGGCAGACAUCACUUGUUAUGAGAAUGAAGAAAAGACUUUUGAUUGAAAAUUUAAUCAGCUUUUCAUCAUUUUUAUAUUGAAGCUAAAUGUGAAGAUUGAGAUUUAAAUAAAAAUGUUAUAUAUUUGGAAAUAUA
Molecule: long non-coding RNA, 1535 nt
Organism: Limulus polyphemus (Atlantic horseshoe crab)
Lineage: Eukaryota; Metazoa; Arthropoda; Merostomata; Xiphosura; Limulidae
Exons: 2
Source: RefSeq, a predicted model, not a curated record